Molecule: unclassified non-coding RNA, 1474 nt
Filed under: Neodiprion lecontei (redheaded pine sawfly)
Lineage: Eukaryota; Metazoa; Arthropoda; Insecta; Hymenoptera; Diprionidae
Description: sodium channel protein Nach-like, transcript variant X3
Source: RNAcentral
CGGUGUCCCUACGGAAGAAUCGCAUUGUGGAAAAACGUGGGAUUCGUAGCGUAUUGAAAAGAAAAUUUUCACCAAUAUUCUGGUAUACGAUGAAUAGAAUUAAAAUAACAAGAGUUCCCCAAGAUCUACCAGCUCGACCGAAGCGUAUCGGCUACUGGCAAAUACUCGUUGACGUAUACAAUGAAUUCGCAGCAGAGACAAGUAUCCACGGUCUAAAAUACACCACGCAAAGAAAAUUAAAGACAGACGGGUUUAUUUGGCUAACAAUCGUGAGCAUAUCCAUAGUAUGCGCCGGGCUGUUGUCCAGCCGCUUCUACGAAAGACAUCGCGCGGCUAGCAUGAGGACGACCGUUGUGAGCACUCAACAUCCUGCAUGGGACCUUCAAUUACCCGCCGUAACCUUGUGCCACGGCACAAUGGCGACGAGACAGAAGUUGGAAAGUUAUCUUAACUCGCAUGAAACAUUGAAGCCGAAAGAUGUUCCGCGGGAAGAAUUGAUAAACGCCGUGAGACAAGUGAGGAAGGCGAUCGAGCCAUCGAAUACGUUUCCCAGGGAGCUUGAAGUCAUGCAAGAGCUCCUAAACUCGAACGCUCUGCAGAUUCACGAAUUCCUCGAGAAAGUUGGCCCGAACUGUAGCGAAUACCUAAUCGUGUGCAAAAGGGCGAAUCGCGAAGUGCCCUGCAAAAGCUUAAUGUCGCCUUCGCUGACCCCUUACGGGCUAUGCUGCUCGUUUAACUACCACCACGCCUCAUCCGCCAGGAGAAGGUUCGCAGCCGAAGAGUCGAAGGAUCAGGAACAUCACUCAGUGACUUACGGGGCGCGAUUUCUUCUCUCAUUCCUGAUGAACCCGCUGCAGGAGGAUCGACUCUCGUCGGCGUUCUACGGCGACGGAAUAAAGGUCCUGAUCCACGAGCCCCUAAAUUACCCGGGUCCCGCGGCUUUGGAAUUCGUCGCGCCGUCGGGCCACGAGACGAUCGCCAGCGUGAACGGAAAUCGACUAACGAGUAGCAGCGAAGUGCUAAGUAUCGGGCAGGAUGUUAGAAGAUGCGUAAUUGUGGACGAGUCUUCGCCCCCUUAUCGCAAAAGCAACUGUUACGUGUCGUGCCGCGAGCGCAUAAUCAGGAACAUAUGUCGGUGUCAGACCUUCUACUCUUUCACUAACGAGCGGGACUUCAAGUUUUGCAAUUUUUCCCACAUGAUAUGCCUGUCGAAGAAUAUGAUCGGCUCCAGCUCUCUGAAGCCCAGCGACCCCGAGUGUCGGUGCAUACCGGAAUGCGAGGAGACGAGCUACAGCGUAGAGACGACGACGAUACCGCUCAACGCCCCGGAGUUCGCUCCUUCUCCAUUCUAGACGUAAACCGAAUCCCAAACGCAACUGCGUUGCACAUAACGCUCGCCUCGCAAGUGAUGACGCUCCAGCGCAGGGACGUAGUUCAAUCUUGGAUCAAUCUACUUUCUUCCCUGGGGGGAGUG